AUUGAACGCUGGCGGCAUGCUUUACACAUGCAAGUCGAACGGUAACAGGUUAAGCUGACGAGUGGCGAACGGGUGAGUAAUGCAUCGGAACGUGCCCGGUCGUGGGGGAUAACGCAGCGAAAGCUGCGCUAAUACCGCAUACGAUCUAAGGAUGAAAGCGGGGGACCGUAAGGCCUCGCGCGAUCGGAGCGGCCGAUGUCAGAUUAGGUAGUUGGUGGGGUAAAGGCUCACCAAGCCAACGAUCUGUAGCUGGUCUGAGAGGACGACCAGCCAGACGGGGACUGAGACACGGCCCAGACUCCUACGGGAGGCAGCAGUGGGGAAUUUUGGACAAUGGGCGAAAGCCUGAUCCAGCAAUGCCGCGUGCAGGAAGAAGGCCUUCGGGUUGUAAACUGCUUUUGUACGGAGCGAAAAGGUCUCCUCUAAUACAGGGGGCUCAUGACGGUACCGUAAGAAUAAGCACCGGCUAACUACGUGCCAGCCGCCGCCGUAA
This 493-nucleotide ribosomal RNA is filed under the name uncultured bacterium. RNAcentral describes it as "partial 16S ribosomal RNA". It matches the Rfam family "Bacterial small subunit ribosomal RNA", at positions 29 to 523 of the family's 1533-position model. The record is from RNAcentral.